RNAcentral lists this ribosomal RNA (468 nucleotides) under uncultured bacterium. RNAcentral's name for it is "partial 16S ribosomal RNA". It matches the Rfam family "Bacterial small subunit ribosomal RNA", at positions 28 to 507 of the family's 1533-position model. The record is from RNAcentral.
GACGAACGCUGGCGGCGUGCUUAACACAUGCAAGUCGAACGGAAAGGCCCUGCUUUUGUGGGGUGCUCGAGUGGCGAACGGGUGAGUAACACGUGAGUAACCUGCCCUUGACUUUGGGAUAACUUCAGGAAACUGGGGCUAAUACCGGAUAGGAGCUCCUGCUGCAUGGUGGGGGUUGGAAAGUUUCGGCGGUUGGGGAUGUACUCGCGGCUUAUCAGCUUGUUGGUGGGGUAGUGGCUUACCAAGGCUUUGACGGGUAGCCGGCAUGAGAGGGUGACCGGCGACAUUGGGACAAAGAUACGGCCCAGAAACCAAGGGGAGGCAGCAGGGGGGAAUAUUGCAAAAUGGGCGGAAGCCUGAAGAAGCAACGCGGGGAGCGGGAUGAAGGGCUUCGGGUUGUAAACCGCUUUCGCCUGUGACGAAGCGUGAGUGACGGUAAUGGGUAAAGAAGCACCGGCUAACUACGUG